AGUAGCUCAGCGGUGGAGCACUCGGCUGUUAACCGAUAGGUCGUAGGUUCGAAUCCUACCU
RNAcentral lists this transfer RNA (61 nucleotides) under Candidatus Caccopulliclostridium gallistercoris. It matches the Rfam family "tRNA", at positions 6 to 65 of the family's 71-position model. Rfam says of the family: Transfer RNA (tRNA) molecules are approximately 80 nucleotides in length. The record is from RNAcentral. Lineage: Bacteria; Bacillati; Bacillota; Clostridia. RNAcentral also lists the same sequence under 1 other name.